This 494-nucleotide ribosomal RNA is filed under the name uncultured bacterium. RNAcentral's name for it is "partial 16S ribosomal RNA". It matches the Rfam family "Bacterial small subunit ribosomal RNA", at positions 28 to 507 of the family's 1533-position model. The record is from RNAcentral.
GACGAACGCUGGCGGCGCGCUUAACACAUGCAAGUCGAACGGAAAGGCCUGCUUUCCCUUGUGGAUUGCGGGUACUCGAGUGGCGAACGGGUGAGUAACACGUGAGUGAUCUGCCCCCAACUUGGGUAUAAGCCUGGGAAACUGGGUCUAAUUCCCGAUAGGACUGCAGGGUGGUGCCUGUGGUGGACAACGAUUUUCUAGUGGUUGGGGAUGAGCUCGCGGCCUAUCAGCUUGUUGGUGGGGUAAUGGCCUACCAAGGCGGCGACGGGUAGCCGGCCUGAGAGGGUGGACGGCCACAUUGGGACUGAGAUACGGCCCAGACUCCUACGGGAGGCAGCAGUGGGGAAUAUUGCACAAUGGGCGGAAGCCUGAUGCAGCGACGCCGCGUGGGGGAUGACGGCCUUCGGGUUGUAAACUCCUUUCGACCGCGAGGAAGCCACCUGGUUGGAAGGGUGGUGACGGUAGUGGUAGAAGAAGCACCGGCUAACUACGUG